ACUCGCGCUGCAGUCUCUGGGUAUACAAACUUCGCGGCCCGAUCGCAGAUGACUGUAAACCGAAAAAAUCCACUCGCUGUGCUUGAAAAAAACGACUAAAUAUACUGCGCAAUAUACCCCGAGGAACUCGCCUUAGGAACUUUCGUAGCUACGUUGCUCCAAAUAUUUGGACUGGGUCUGAAUACUGCGCUGUAUUUCCUGUAAAAUAUGGCUGCUAAGGUUGGCAGUACUUUCCAAGAUCGACGGGCAGGCAAAGCCGGCGUAUGCGAAGCUGCC
This is a long non-coding RNA of Diprion similis, 276 nucleotides long. RefSeq lists it as uncharacterized. NCBI's taxonomy places the organism in Eukaryota, Metazoa, Arthropoda, Insecta, Hymenoptera, Diprionidae. The transcript is spliced from 3 exons. The record is from RefSeq and is a predicted model, not a curated record.